Molecule: ribosomal RNA, 479 nt
Filed under: uncultured bacterium
Lineage: Bacteria
Description: partial 16S ribosomal RNA
Rfam family: Bacterial small subunit ribosomal RNA
Source: RNAcentral
GGGGGGGGGGGGGGGGGGGGCGGGCGGGGGGGGGCGGGGCGGGGGGGUUUCUUCGGGGACUUGAGAGCGGCGCACGGGUGCGUAACACGUGUGCAACCUACCUUUAUCUGGGGGAUAGCCUUUCGAAAGGAAGAUUAAUACCCCAUAAUAUAAUGAUUGGCAUCAAUUAUUAUUGAAAACUCCGGUGGAUAGAGAUGGGCACGCGCAAGAUUAGAUAGUUGGUGAGGUAACGGCUCACCAAGUCAAUGAUCUUUAGGGGUCCUGAGAGGGAGAUCCCCCACACUGGUACUGAGACACGGACCAGACUCCUACGGGAGGCAGCAGUGAGGAAUAUUGGACAAUGGGUGAGAGCCUGAUCCAGCCAUCCCGCGUGAAGGAUGACGGUCCUAUGGAUUGUAAACUUCUUUUGUACAGGGAUAAACCUACCCUCGUGAGGGUAGCUGAAGGUACUGUACGAAUAAGCACCGGCUAACUCCGUG